RNAcentral lists this ribosomal RNA (252 nucleotides) under uncultured bacterium. RNAcentral's name for it is "partial 16S ribosomal RNA". It matches the Rfam family "Bacterial small subunit ribosomal RNA", at positions 80 to 334 of the family's 1533-position model. The record is from RNAcentral.
UAUAAGUGAUGGCGACCGGCGCACGGGUGAGUAACACGUAUCCAACCUGCCGAUAACUCGGGGAUAGCCUUUCGAAAGAAAGAUUAAUACCCGAUGGUAUAAUAAAACACAUGGUUUAAUUAUUAAAGAAUUUCGGUUAUCGAUGGGGAUGCGUUCCAUUAGGCAGUUGGUGAGGUAACGGCUCACCAAACCUUCGAUGGAUAGGGGUUCUGAGAGGAAGGUCCCCCACAUUGGAACUGAGACACGGUCCAA